GACAGAGGGUGCAAACGUUGUUCGGAAUUACUGGGCGUCAAGCGCGUGUAGGCGGCUAAGUAAGUCGGGCGUGAAAUCCCACGGCUCAACCGUGGAAGUGCACUCGAAACUGCAUAGCUAGAGUCCUGGAGAGGAAGGUGGAAUGCUUGGUGUAGAGGUGAAAUUCGUAGAUAUCAAGCGGAACACCGGUGGCGAAGGCGGCCUUCUGGACAGUGACUGACGCUGAGACGCGAAAGCGUGGGGAGCAAACAGG
This 253-nucleotide ribosomal RNA is filed under the name uncultured bacterium. RNAcentral describes it as "partial 16S ribosomal RNA". It matches the Rfam family "Bacterial small subunit ribosomal RNA", at positions 524 to 776 of the family's 1533-position model. The record is from RNAcentral.